This 31-nucleotide non-coding RNA is filed under the name Mucochytrium quahogii. The record is from RNAcentral. Lineage: Eukaryota; Bigyra; Thraustochytrida; Thraustochytriidae.
GCAGAGUGGGACGGUUGGAGAAUGCGCUGCU